This 1051-nucleotide ribosomal RNA is filed under the name uncultured Cryobacterium sp. RNAcentral's name for it is "bacterial SSU rRNA". It matches the Rfam family "Bacterial small subunit ribosomal RNA", at positions 337 to 1390 of the family's 1533-position model. Lineage: Bacteria; Bacillati; Actinomycetota; Actinomycetes; Micrococcales; Microbacteriaceae. The record is from RNAcentral.
UCCUACGGGAGGCAGCAGUGGGGAAUAUUGCACAAUGGGCGCAAGCCUGAUGCAGCAACGCCGCGUGAGGGACGAAGGCCUUCGGGUUGUAAACCUCUUUUAGUAGGGAAGAAGCGACUGGGUUUUCCUGGGAGUGACGGUACCUGCAGAAAAAGCACCGGCUAACUACGUGCCAGCAGCCGCGGUAAUACGUAGGGUGCAAGCGUUGUCCGGAAUUAUUGGGCGUAAAGAGCUCGUAGGCGGUUUGUCGCGUCUGCUGUGAAAACCCGAGGCUCAACCUCGGGCCUGCAGUGGGUACGGGCAGACUAGAGUGCGGUAGGGGAGAUUGGAAUUCCUGGUGUAGCGGUGGAAUGCGCAGAUAUCAGGAGGAACACCAAUGGCGAAGGCAGAUCUCUGGGCCGUAACUGACGCUGAGGAGCGAAAGCAUGGGGAGCGAACAGGAUUAGAUACCCUGGUAGUCCAUGCCGUAAACGUUGGGAACUAGAUGUGGGGACCAUUCCACGGUCUCCGUGUCGCAGCUAACGCAUUAAGUUCCCCGCCUGGGGAGUACGGCCGCAAGGCUAAAACUCAAAGGAAUUGACGGGGCCCGCACAAGCGGCGGAGCAUGCGGAUUAAUUCGAUGCAACGCGAAGAACCUUACCAAGGCUUGACAUAUACCGGAAACGGCUGGAAACAGUCGCCCCGCAAGGUCGGUAUACAGGUGGUGCAUGGUUGUCGUCAGCUCGUGUCGUGAGAUGUUGGGUUAAGUCCCGCAACGAGCGCAACCCUUGAUCUUAGUUGCCAGCAUUCAGUUGGGCACUCUAAGGUGACUGCCGGUGACAAACCGGAGGAAGGUGGGGAUGACGUCAAAUCAUCAUGCCCCUUAUGACCUGGGCUACACACGUGCUACAAUGGAUGGUACAAAGGGCUGCGAGACCGCGAGGUUAAGCGAAUCCCAUAAAACCAUUCUCAGUUCGGAUUGCAGGCUGCAACUCGCCUGCAUGAAGCCGGAAUCGCUAGUAAUCGCGGAUCAGCAUGCCGCGGUGAAUACGUUCCCGGGCCUUGUACACAC